AGAGUUUGAUCCUGGCUCAGAUUGAACGCUGGCGGCAUGCCUUACACAUGCAAGUCGAACGGCAGCACGGACUUCGGUCUGGUGGCGAGUGGCGAACGGGUGAGUAACAUAUCGGAACGUGCCCUGGAGUGGGGGAUAACUAGUCGAAAGAUUAGCUAAUACCGCAUACGAUCUACGGAUGAAAGUGGGGGAUCGCAAGACCUCAUGCUCGUGGAGCGGCCGAUAUCUGAUUAGCUAGUUGGUGGGGUAAAGGCCCACCAAGGCAUCGAUCAGUAGCUGGUCUGAGAGGACGACCAGCCACACUGGGACUGAGACACGGCCCAGACUCCUACGGGAGGCAGCAGUGGGGAAUUUUGGACAAUGGGGGCAACCCUGAUCCAGCAAUGCCGCGUGAGUGAAGAAGGCCUUCGGGUUGUAAAGCUCUUUUGUCAGGGAAGAAACGGUCCGGGCUAAUACCUUGGGCUAAUGACGGUACCUGAAGAAUAAGCACCGGCUAACUACGUGCCAGCAGCCGCGGUAAUACGUAGGGUGCGAGCGUUAAUCGGAAUUACUGGGCGUAAAGCGUGCGCAGGCGGUUGUGCAAGACAGAUGUGAAAUCCCCGGGCUCAACCUGGGAAUUGCGUUUGUGACUGCACGGCUAGAGUGUGUCAGAGGGGGUAGAAUUUCCACGUGUAGCAGUGAAAUGCGUAGAGUGUGGGGGGAAUACCGAUGGCGAAGCAGCCCCCUGAGAUAACACUGACGCUCAUGCACGAAGCGUGGGGAGCAAACAGGAUUAGAAUACCUGGUAGUCCACGCCCUAACGAUGUCCACUAGUGGUCCGGUCCUAAUUGACUUGGUUACGGCAGCUAACGCGUGAAGUUGACCGCCUGGGGAGUACGGUCGCAAGAUUAAAACUCAAAGGAAUUGACGGGGACCCGCACAAGCGGUGGAUGAUGUGGAUUAAUUCGAUGCAACGCGAAAAACCUUACCUACCCUUGACAUGGCAGGAAUCCCCGAGAGAUCGGGGAGUGCUCGAAAGAGAACCUGCACACAGGUGCUGCAUGGCUGUCGUCAGCUCGUGUCGUGAGAUGUUGGGUUAAGUCCCGCAACGAGCGCAACCCUUGUCAUUAGUUGCUACGAAAGGGCACUCUAAUGAGACUGCCGGUGACAAACCGGAGGAAGGUGGGGAUGACGUCAAGUCCUCAUGGCCCUUAUGGGUAGGGCUUCACACGUCAUACAAUGGUACAUACAGAGGGCCGCCAACCCGCGAGGGGGAGCUAAUCCCAGAAAGUGUAUCGUAGUCCGGAUUGGAGUCUGCAACUCGACUCCAUGAAGUUGGAAUCGCUAGUAAUCGCGGAUCAGCAUGUCGCGGUGAAUACGUUCCCGGGUCUUGUACACACCGCCCGUC
RNAcentral lists this ribosomal RNA (1387 nucleotides) under uncultured bacterium. RNAcentral describes it as "bacterial SSU rRNA". It matches the Rfam family "Bacterial small subunit ribosomal RNA". The record is from RNAcentral.